AGCCUAUUAGCUCAAAUGGUAGAGCAAUGUGCCACGCACAUAUAUGUAGGUUCGAGUCCUACAUACGCUG
Spinacia oleracea (spinach) is the source of this 70-nucleotide non-coding RNA. The record is from Rfam. Lineage: Eukaryota; Viridiplantae; Streptophyta; Magnoliopsida; Caryophyllales; Amaranthaceae.